UUUAUAAUAUAGUAAAUAUUGGUAAAUAACUCAAGUUUACAAAGUUCUAUGGUGUUAUAAAUAAUUAUAAAAAUGUAAAAAAAAAUAAUUAUAAAAAUGUAAAAUGGGGACACCUGGGUGGCUCAGUGGUUGAGUAUCUGCCUUUGGCUCAGGUUAUGAUCCCAGGAUCCUGGGAUCGAGUCCCACAUGGAGCUCCCCACAGGGAGAGCCUGACGUGGGAUUUGAUCUUGGGUCUCCAGGAUCACGCCCUGGGCCAAAGGCAGGUGCCAAACUGCUGUGCCACCCAGGGAUCCCUAAAUAAAAUCUUAAAAAAAAAAAAGUAAAAUUGGGGCAGCCCCGGUGGCUCUAUGAAUAAAUAAAUAAAAUCUUUAAAAAAAAAGUAAAAUUGUUCUCAGACAAAAAUGUUUGAGAGAGUAGGAAGUAGAGGCUAAUUGGGGACGCUACAGAAUUGGGGUUCCAGAGAGAAAUGAGGGUUGGGAAGAGGUGAGAGGCCUGAACCCAGGGAACCCUGAGUCAAAGUAUACAAGGGAGCCUAGCAUCACAGUGGCCCAUUCUGCCUUUGGAUGACAAGGCCAGGGCUAUAAGUCUCUGAGUUUGGUGAUAACCAAAAAUAUUCUGAGGAUUGUCAUGUAUGAUAUUAACUGGUUAUUAUUUUGGUUGGUCCAGAAAGAUGAUUUUUGGAGGCAUAUGCAUAACCAUGUUUUUAUUUUCAUAGUAAGUUGCAUAUACAAACAAAAGAAUAAAGCAGACAGAUCUUUGAAAUCAAUAGUGAAAAGCCUAAUAUGAGUGCUAAAAGCAGCUCAUGCUGGCCCAUGAGAGCCAAUUGUUAAAAUUUCAAUUUUGUAAUCUGCUGUUCAACUAUAACCAUUAUUAAAAAUUUCAUUAUAUCAGCUUACAAUUAAGCUUGUUGCAGUAAAAGAAAAUAUUAAACUCAUUCAAAACUCAUCGCUUUCUAAUAACUUUAUGACAUUUUACUAUUCAUGCUCUUUUUUUAAAAAGAUUUUAUUUAUUCAUGAGAGACACAGAAAGAGAGAGAGGCAGAGACACAGGCAGAGGGAGAAGUAGGCUCCAUGCAGGGAGCCCAACGCGGGACUUGAUUCCAGGACUCCAGGAUCGCGCCCUGGGCUGAAGGCGGCGCUAAACCGCUGAGCCACCUGCGCUGCCCUCAUGCUCUUGAAUUAAGGUACGCUUCUUGUAUCGCUGUGGCAGUAACACUAUAUAAGAGUAUGCUGUGGUGCCUCUUUGCCGGACCCAGCAUUUAGUAACAUCAUGUUAGUAGCUUGAAAUCAGCCAUGGGGGAUGUACUUACAGCACAGAAAUUACUUACAAACACAGAGUUUGACGUAUUGUUAUUUAUUUGUUAAUUAUCACAUUCAUUCAUCAAUUGUAACUAUAGGUUAUGGAGACAAGAGUAAAGGAAAGACCAAUGAAAGCAUUCUUUGAGGAUUGAUUGGCUAUAUGGAAUUGAUAAUAAACUGUAUUGUAUAUUUUAUUAUGUAUAAGUUGUGUGUUACACAUCGUUUAUAUCAGUAAAGUUUAUAAUAAAUAUAUCGGUACUUUUUUUCCCUGAAGAGCUGAUUGUUAAACAUUUACCAAACACACUACUCAACUGAGGUCCACUGUCCCUGAGACUAGCAGUGGGAUGAGGGUAUGCAACACAGAGGACGGCCUGCUCCCUCACCCCUGGCCCUGAACUGUCUGAUGGGGAGUCAGAUACGAAGGUAAUAAUACAGCCCUGGGUGAUGAGGAAGGAAGGUGCUGAGGAAUCUAGUCCAGGGAGGUGUCCAGAGGAUCUGAGACUCACAUGGGCGCUCAAAGGAUGAGUAAGAAUCAGCUAGCCAAAGGAACACCAUGAGCAAUGCUCAGCUGUGGGCAGGAACAAUAGCGACAGAGGAUGGAAAGUUGAGGACCCCCGGGCGUGCUAUGCCUGCAGUUAGUGGGGUCAGGUUUGGAUGGGCAAUUCUGUGCUAAUUCGACAAGUAAACAGUAGGUGUUGCAUGUUCAGAGCUUCUGGCUAGACUGUAAAAGGUGGCGGCGAUGAACAUGAGCUGCACAGGCCAUCCGGCUCCCCUGCACCCAGCUCUGCUGCCUGCUGAACAACCAGGCUGGUGGCCAAGCAGCUCUUGCCAGGGUUAGUCACUGCGGGCGUGGCUGCCCCCAAGUGGUCCAUCGGAGGCACUGCUGGGAGCAGGAAGGAAGCACUGAGAAGCCACCGUGGACUAGGGCCUGUGACACCCACAAGAGGUUGGGGAUUGGGAAUUGUACUUGUUUCCUACACUCAAGCUGUUCCAGUGAUCCCCAUCUUUUCAAGCUAACAAAACUGAGUUAUAACCUACACACAAUAGAGUACACAGAUCUUCAGUUUUCAGUUUAAUAAGUUUUGAUAAUUUUAUAUUACUUGUAACUACGACCCAAAACAAGAUCUAGAAUAUUUCUAUCGCCCCAGAAAAAAUUGUUCUCUUUUUAGUCAGUCAACUCGCCCCUCCCACCCACCCCACAAUCAGCAGCCCCUAGGUUCAUUUGUAUCACAUUAACUUUCCAGUUGUUAAACUUCAUGUAAGUGGAAUCAUAUAGUAUAGCUUUGUUUUGGUUUUUUUGGUCUGGCUUAUUUUGCCUAAUAUAAUGUAUUUUAGAUUCAUUCAUUUUUUUUAAAUGAAGAUUUUUUUUUUUAAGAUUUAUUUAUUUAUUCAUUCAGAGAGAGCGAAGAGAGAGGCAGAGACACAGGCAGAGGGAGAAGCAGGCUCCACGCAGGGAGCCUGAUGUGGGACUCGAUCCUGGGUCUCCAGGAUCACACCCCGGGCUGCAGGCGGCGCUAAACCACUGCGCCACCAGGGCUACCCUUUAGAUUCAUUUAUAUUGCUGCAUGUAUCCAUUGCUCAUUCAUUUUUCUCCUUGAGUCAUAUUAUAUUGUAUGAAUAUAUAAUAAUUUGUUUAUCCAUUCUCUUGUUGCUGGCUGUUUCCAGUUUUCA
RNAcentral lists this long non-coding RNA (2969 nucleotides) under Canis lupus familiaris (dog). Its description in RNAcentral is "lncRNA (ENSCAFG00845018840.1)". The record is from RNAcentral. Lineage: Eukaryota; Metazoa; Chordata; Mammalia; Carnivora; Canidae.